UUGGGUUAAGUCCGUAACGAGCGCAACCCUGUCCUUAGUUACCAGCACGUUAUGUGGGCACUCUAAGGAGGACUGCCGGUGACAAACCGGAGGAAGGUGGGGAUGACGUCAAGUCAUCAUGGCCCUUACGGCCUGGGCUACACACGUGCUACAAUGGUCGGUACAAAGGGUUGCCAAGCCGCGAGGUGGAGCUAAUCCCAUAAAACCGAUCGUAGUCCGGAUCGCAGUCUGCAACUCGACUGCGUGAAGUCGGAAUCGCUAGUAAUCGUGAAUCAGAAUGUCACGGUGAAUACGUUCCCGGGCCUU
RNAcentral lists this ribosomal RNA (306 nucleotides) under uncultured Pseudomonas sp. RNAcentral describes it as "bacterial SSU rRNA". It matches the Rfam family "Bacterial small subunit ribosomal RNA", at positions 1075 to 1382 of the family's 1533-position model. Lineage: Bacteria; Pseudomonadati; Pseudomonadota; Gammaproteobacteria; Pseudomonadales; Pseudomonadaceae. The record is from RNAcentral.